UACGUAGGGUGCGAGCGUUAAUCGGAAUUACUGGGCGUAAAGCGUGCGCAGGCGGUGAUGUGAGUCAGGUGUGAAAUCCCCGGGCUCAACCUGGGAACUGCAUCUGUGACUGCAUCGCUGGAGUGCGGCAGAGGGGGAUGGAAUUCCGCGUGUAGCAGUGAAAUGCGUAGAUAUGCGGAGGAACACCGAUGGCGAAGGCAGUCCCCUGGGCCUGUACUGACGCUCAUGCACGAAAGCGUGGGGAGCAAACAGG
This 253-nucleotide ribosomal RNA is filed under the name uncultured bacterium. RNAcentral's name for it is "partial 16S ribosomal RNA". It matches the Rfam family "Bacterial small subunit ribosomal RNA", at positions 524 to 776 of the family's 1533-position model. The record is from RNAcentral.